GCGUGCUCGGAAUUUAUGGGCGUAAAGAGUAAGGUAGGUGUCUCGUUUGUCUGGGGGUGAAAAGCCUUGAGCUUAACUCAAGAAGUGCCUUAGAAACGGCGAGACUAGAGUCUUGGAGAGGGUCGUGGAAAUUCCCGGUGUAGCGGUGAAAUGCGUAGAGAUCGGGAGGAACACCAGAGGGCGAAGGCGGCGACCUGGACAAAGUACUGACACUCAACUACGAAAAGCGUGGGGAGCAAACAGGAUUAGAUACCCUGGUAGUCCACGCUGUAAACGAUGGGUACUAGGUUUGGUGGGUCUUGACCCCUGCUGAACCGGAGCUAACGCAAUAAGUACCCCGCCUGGGAAGUACGGUCGCAAGACUAAAACUCAAAGGAAUUGACGGGGGCCCGCACAAGCGGUGGAUCAUGUGGUUUAAUUCGAAGCAACGCGAAGAACCUUACCUGGAUUUGACAUCCUCGGACAACCCUAGAGAUAGGGCUUUCGUAGCAAUACGACCGGGAGACAGGUGCUGCAUGGCUGUCGUCAGCUCGUGUGGUGACAUGUUGGGUUAAGUCCCGCAACGAGCGCAACCCUUGUCCUUAGUUGCCAGCAUUAAGUUGGGCUCUCUAAGGAGACUGCCGUGGUUAACACGGAGGAAGGUGGGGAUGACGUCAAGUCCUCAUGGCCUUUAUAUCCAGGGCGACACACGUGAUACAAUGGACGGUACAGAGGGACGCGAACCCGCGAGGGGGAGCUAAUCUCAAAAAGCCGUUCUCAGUUCGGAUUGGAGUCUGCAACUCGACUCCAUGAAGUUGGAAUCGCUAGUAAUCGCGGAUCAGCACGCCGCGGUGAAUACGUUCCCGGGCCUUGUACACACCGCCCGUCACACCAUGGGAGCUGACUCAACCAGAAGCCAGUAACGCUAACCGCAAGGGGGCGUCUGUCGAAGGUGGGGUUGGUGACUGGGGUGGAAGAUCG
This 960-nucleotide ribosomal RNA is filed under the name uncultured bacterium. RNAcentral describes it as "bacterial SSU rRNA". It matches the Rfam family "Bacterial small subunit ribosomal RNA", at positions 538 to 1488 of the family's 1533-position model. The record is from RNAcentral.